GAUGAACGCUGGCGGCGUGCCUAAUACAUGCAAGUCGAGCGAACGGACGAGAAGCUUGCUUCUCUGAUGUUAGCGGCGGACGGGUGAGUAACACGUGGAUAGCCUACCUAUAAGACUGGGAUAACUUCGGGAAACCGGAGCUAAUACCGGAUAAUAUUUUGAACCGCAUGGUUCAAAAGUGAAAGACGGUCUUGCUGUCACUUAUAGAUGGAUCCGCGCUGCAUUUGCUAGUUGGUAAGGUAACGGCUUACCAAGGCAACGAUGCAUAGCCGACCUGAGAGGGUGAUCGGCCACACUGGAACUGAGACACGGUCCAGACUCCUACGGGAGGCAGCAGUAGGGAAUCUUCCGCAAAGGGCGAAAGCCUGACGGAGCAACGCCGCGUGAGUGAUGAAGGUCUUCGGAUCGUAAAACUCUGUUAUUAGGGAAGAACAUAUGUGUAAGUAACUGUGCACAUCUUGACGGUACCUAAUCAGAAAGCCACGGCUAACUACGUG
RNAcentral lists this ribosomal RNA (497 nucleotides) under uncultured bacterium. RNAcentral describes it as "partial 16S ribosomal RNA". It matches the Rfam family "Bacterial small subunit ribosomal RNA", at positions 28 to 507 of the family's 1533-position model. The record is from RNAcentral.